CGCCUGGGGAGUGCGGCCGCAAGGUUAAAACUCAAAUGAAUUGACGGGGGCCCGCACAAGCGGUGGAGCAUGUGGUUUAACUCGACGCAACGCGAAGAACCUUACCUGGCCUUGACAUGCAGAGAACUUUCCAGAGAUGGAUUGGUGCCUUCGGGAACUCUGACACAGGUGCUGCGUGGCCGUCGUCAGCUCGUGUCGUGAGAUGUUGGAUUAAGUCCCGUAACGAGCGCAACCCCUAUCCCUAGUUGCUAGCAGUUCGGCUGAGAACUCUAGGGAGACUGCCGGUGACAAACCGGAGGAAGGUGGGGAUGACGUCAGGUCAUCAUGGCCCUUACGGCCAGGGCUACACACGUGCUACAAUGGCGCGCACAGAGGGCUGCAAACCCGCGAGGGGGAGCCAAUCUCACAAAACGCGUCGUAGUCCGGAUCGCAGUCUGCAACUCGACUGCGUGAAGUCGGAAUCGCUAGUAAUCGUGAAUCAGAAUGUCACGGUGAAUACGUUCCCGGGCCUUGUACACACCGCCCGUCACACCAUGGGAGUGGAUUGCACCAGAAGUGGUUAGUCUAACCUUCGGGAGGACGAUCACCACGGUGUGGUUCAUGACUGGGGUGAAGUCGUAACAAGGUAACCGUA
Molecule: ribosomal RNA, 634 nt
Filed under: uncultured Marinobacter sp.
Lineage: Bacteria; Pseudomonadati; Pseudomonadota; Gammaproteobacteria; Pseudomonadales; Marinobacteraceae
Description: bacterial SSU rRNA
Rfam family: Bacterial small subunit ribosomal RNA
Source: RNAcentral